RNAcentral lists this ribosomal RNA (216 nucleotides) under uncultured bacterium. Its description in RNAcentral is "partial 16S ribosomal RNA". It matches the Rfam family "Bacterial small subunit ribosomal RNA", at positions 1287 to 1500 of the family's 1533-position model. The record is from RNAcentral.
CCCAGUUCGGACUGUGGUCUGCAACCCGACCACACGAAGCUGGAAUCGCUAGUAAUCGCGGAUCAGAAUGCCGCGGUGAAUACGUUCCCGGGUCUUGUACACACCGCCCGUCACACCAUGGGAGUCAGCAACGCCCGAAGUCAGUGACCCAACCAUUAUAGGAGGGAGCUGCCGAAGGCGGGGCAGGUGACUGGGGUGAAGUCGUAACAAGGUACC